RNAcentral lists this ribosomal RNA (468 nucleotides) under uncultured bacterium. RNAcentral's name for it is "partial 16S ribosomal RNA". It matches the Rfam family "Bacterial small subunit ribosomal RNA", at positions 28 to 507 of the family's 1533-position model. The record is from RNAcentral.
GACGAACGCUGGCGGCGUGCUUAACACAUGCAAGUCGAACGGAAAGGCCCUGCUUUUGUGGGGUGCUCGAGUGGCGAACGGGUGAGUAACACGUGAGUAACCUGCCCUUGACUUUGGGGUAACUUCAGGAAACUGGGGCUAAUACCGGAUAGGAGCUCCUCCUGCAUGGUGGGGGUUGGAAAGUUUCGGCGGUCGGGGAUGGACGCGCGGCUGAUCAGCUUGUUGGUUGGGUAGUGGCUUACCAAGGAUUGGGAGGGUACGCGGCCUGGGAGGGGGACCGGCCACAUGGGGCCUGCGAUACGGCGCAGACGCCAACGGGAGGCAGUAGUGGCGAAUAUGACCCAAUGGGCGGAAGCCUGAUGCAGCGACGCCGCGGUCGGGAAGACGGUCUUUGGGUUGUAAACCGCUUCCGCCUGAGACGAAGCGGGUGUGACGGUAAUGGGUAAAUAAGCACCGGCUAACUACGUG